Hirundo rustica (Barn swallow) is the source of this 935-nucleotide long non-coding RNA. RefSeq lists it as uncharacterized. The record is from RefSeq and is a predicted model, not a curated record. The transcript has 3 exons. NCBI's taxonomy places the organism in Eukaryota, Metazoa, Chordata, Aves, Passeriformes, Hirundinidae.
CAGUUCUUAGAUGACAGUUGAUAAAACCUUAGGAUGUAUUUUCUGUUUCAGGUGAAAGCUUACUGUAAAUGGGAGGGAUUUACCUGCAGCUUAAAAGAGACCCACAGAAAGUAUGAGAGAUCUGCAAAGCACCGUACCUUUUAAGUCUGAAUUGAAAGAGAGAUGAUCACUGAGAGACUUCACAGGUCAUUGUUGUGUCAGACUCCAGAUAUAAUGUAUAGCAUUACACCUGUGGAGAUAAGGGAAGAAGACAAGGGAAGUAAAGGGCUCGCAGAACCCAAGCCAAGAGGUUUACAACCCUGGUAGAGCAGAUGGAGACUUGGUGUCUAAGCAAACUGCAGCAAAUCUGCGUGCUGAAUGGAGAAUUUUCUACUUUGCCAACAAAAAAUGUGAAACAGAGAAGCCUGCCUUCUACUUAGGAUUUCACUGCCUGAAUCAAAUACACAUGGAAGAACUCCUACCCUUUUUGGAUUGAGAUUGCAUUUAUUUUCCAAGGAGAGAAGUCACAUCCAGUUAUUUAACAAAAUUAUUUGAGCUCAGGAUGAUUUUGCAAAGGACCCCCCACAUAGGCAGAGGAACGACUGAAGCACAGGAAGGAGUUUGGGUGUAAGGAAGACACUGAGCAAACUGAUGUAGUGAGCACUUUGAGACUUUUAGGGAUCAGUGGAACUCAAAUAUCUAAAUAACAGUUUAAACCAAUUUAAAUAGCAGUUAAACCCAAAAAGCCUAAAGUCCCUUUUGAUUUUAAACUCCCCUAGGGCUGACAGCUGAACACAUGUGCUGUGGCUUAGGCAAUGGUACCCUAGUUCUAAAUGUGGACUUGCAUUUCAUGUCCACCACCCAAGGCUGGUAACUUCCCAACGUGAUUCAUUAUCUGGCUUGUUCUCGUUUUUUUCUUAAGUACUCUAUUUUUAUUUUUUCUUAACUCCCCCUAU